CCUGGAUCCGGAGCUGUGCAGGGAGCAGCUGCCACCGCCCGGGAAUGUCACCCCCCUUGCUUGGAGCCCCUGCAGGGCCUCCGCUGGCCUUGGGUAGUGGACGGCCAGUGCCCCACUGGGCUUCUAGCUGAAGCCCUGCCCAGCCCCUGGGUCUGCGCUCCCUCUUUUCCUCCCCACCCCAAGUUCCCUCACCCUAUGGAGGCUUCUCAGCAGAGAGCAAUGCAGGACUGAGCAGGGAAGAUCUGUCUGCAUUGCAAGUGCCCUCAGGAGGAGCACAUGGUGACAGUGAUGCCCCUGGAGAUGGAGAAGACUGUCAGCAAACUCAUGUUUGACUUCCAGAGGAACUCAACCUCGGACGACGACUCGGGCUGUGCCUUGGAGGAAUAUGCCUGGGUUCCGCCAGGUCUGAAGCCUGAACAGGUUCACCAGUACUAUAGCUGUCUCCCAGAAGAGAAAGUUCCUUAUGUCAACAGUCCUGGAGAGAAACUGCGAAUCAAACAGCUAUUGCACCAGCUGCCACCACAUGACAAUGAGGUUCGGUAUUGCAACUCCCUGGAUGAGGAAGAGAAGAGGGAGCUGAAGCUAUUCAGUAACCAGAGGAAGCGUGAAAACCUGGGUCGUGGAAAUGUCAGGCCCUUCCCAGUCACCAUGACAGGAGCUAUAUGUGAGCAGUGUGGAGGGCAGAUUAAUGGCGGAGACAUCGCUGUGUUCGCGUCUCGUGCAGGCCACGGUGUCUGCUGGCACCCACCGUGCUUCAUAUGCACCGUCUGCAAUGAGCUCCUGGUGGACCUGAUCUACUUUUACCAAGAUGGGAAGAUAUACUGUGGCAGGCACCAUGCCGAGUGCCUGAAGCCGCGCUGUGCCGCGUGCGACGAGAUCAUUUUUGCAGAUGAAUGCACAGAAGCAGAGGGGCGGCAUUGGCACAUGAAACAUUUCUGCUGCUUCGAGUGUGAGACCGUGCUGGGUGGCCAGCGCUACAUCAUGAAGGAGGGAAGGCCUUACUGUUGCCAAUGCUUCGAGUCGUUGUAUGCGGAAUAUUGCGACACUUGUGCUCAACACAUAGGCAUUGACCAAGGUCAGAUGACCUAUGAUGGACAACACUGGCAUGCCACUGAGACCUGUUUCUGCUGUGCUCACUGCAAAAAAUCCCUCCUGGGCCGCCCAUUCCUCCCGAAGCAGGGCCAGAUAUUCUGUUCACGGGCCUGCAGUGCCGGGGAGGACCCCAAUGGCUCUGAUUCAUCUGAUUCAGCCUUCCAGAACGCCAGGGCCAAGGAGUCCCGGCGCAGCGCCAAAAUCGGCAAGAACAAGGGCAAGACGGAGGAGCCCAUGCUGAACCAGCACAGCCAGCUGCAGCUGAGCUCUAACCGACUGUCAGCUGACGUGGACCCUCUGUCGAUGCAAAUGGACCUGCUCAGUCUGUCCAGCCAGACACCCAGCCUCAACCGGGACCCCAUCUGGAGGAGCCGGGAGGAACCCUACCAUUAUGGCAACAAGAUGGAGCAGAACCAGUCCCAGAGUCCUUUGCAGCUCCUCAGCCAGUGCAACAUCAGAACUUCCUACAGCCCAGGAGGUCAAGGGGCUGGGGCCCAGCCUGACAUGUGGGCCAAGCACUUCAGCAACCCCAAAAGGAGCUCCUCACUGGCCAUGAAGGGUCAUGGCGGCAGCUUCAUCAAGGAAUGCCGGGAGGACUACUACCCAGGAAGGCUCAGAUCCCAGGAGAGCUACAGUGACAUGUCCAGUCAGAGCUUUAGUGAAACCCGCGGCAACAUCCAAGUCCCCAAAUACGAGGAGGAGGAGGAAGGGGGCCUGUCCAGUCAGCAGUGCCGGACCCGUCACCCAAUCAGUUCCCUGAAAUACACUGAGGAUAUGACACCCACAGAGCAGACCCCUCGGGGCUCCAUGGAAUCGCUGGCCCUCUCAAACACAACAGGGCUCUCCGCGGAUGGUGGCGCCAAGCGCCAGGAGCACCUAUCCCGGUUUUCCAUGCCCGACCUCAGCAAAGACUCCGGAAUGAAUGUCUCCGAGAAGUUGAGCAACAUGGGUACCCUGAAUUCAUCCAUGCAGUUCCGGAGCGCAGAGUCAGUCCGCAGCCUGCUCUCUGCCCAACAGUAUCAGGAGAUGGAAGGAAACCUCCAUCAGCUCGGCAACCCCAUUGGCUACAGAGACUUGCAGUCACACGGAAGGAUGCACCAGAGCUUUGAUUUUGAUGGGGGCAUGGCAGGCAGCAAGCUGCCAGGGCAGGAGGGCGUGAGGAUCCAGCCGAUGAGCGAGCGCACACGUCGGAGAACUACUUCCCGCGAUGACAACCGCCGCUUCCGACCUCACCGGUCCCGGCGUUCCCGACGCUCUCGCUCCGACAACGCCCUCCACCUGGCCAGUGAACGCGAGGCCAUCUCGCGGUUAAAAGAAAGGCCCCCGCUAAGAGCCAGGGAGGACUAUGACCAAUUCAUGCGCCAGCGGAGCUUCCAGGAGAGCCUGGGCCAAGGGUCCCGAAGGGACCUGUAUGGCCAGUGCCCAAGGACUGUGUCGGAUCUGGCUUUGCAGAACGCCUUCGGGGAGCGGUGGGGACCAUACUUCGCCGAGUACGAUUGGUGCUCCACCUGUUCCUCCUCUUCUGAGUCUGACAACGAGGGCUAUUUCCUAGGAGAACCGAUCCCCCAGCCCGCCCGCCUGCGAUACGUCACCAGUGAUGAGCUCCUGCACAAAUACAGCUCCUACGGCCUCCCCAAGUCUUCCACGCUAGGUGGCAGGGGACAGUUGCACAGCAGGAAAAGACAGAAGAGCAAAAACUGUAUCAUUUCUUAAUCUGGGUGGAGGUCAGGGAAUGGGGGAAGAUGGGAGCGAAGAAUGUAAAUUCAGAAACUUGCACUGUUUUCAAUGUUCAAGCGCUUCUGGGUGUGGUUACAGGGGAGAAAAGGAGAAAUGCUCUCGUUGAUGGAGGCAAGGUCACAGAUUGACUUGUAGUCGCAGUUCUUGGCAUGUCGAAUAUUAUUUGCACAUUUCACUUCGGAAAUGCUAUAGACGCUAUGAGGCCAGGUCACCUCCUUCCCUCUGUGUUGUUGCCACUCGCAAGAUGGCAAAUUGUUUCUUGCUCGCUUAUAGCCUCUCUGGUUCUCUUCCUUUUAGGAUCCCUUUUCCAGUAAGUAAUUUCUUUAUUAGCCAGGACCCAAGACUAAGUUAUUUACAUGUCCACUGUAAAUGCAAUGUAAAUGAGAGUUCUGAUAAAAUAUUUUUGUAUUUUGUAAUAUCAGAGGAAUUUCUAUAUCGUAGGACUCAGUGGAGACUUGCAUGCAUAUCCAGCAUUGUCUUUCAGUAGUAUUCAGAGGUGGUCCAGGACCACCUUCCCUCCCUCCCCCCUUUUUUUCUAUACAAAUUUGUUACAUGUCAGUGAGACUUUUUUUCAAAGGCGUUUAUUCAAUUUGGCUUUUUGUGGUUAAAAAAAAGAAAACAAACUCUAAAACCUAAAGCUUCUUAGGCUCCAUUCCACCUCCAGGAGCCGUCCCUAAGUCUGCCCCCACCCUCCGUAGAAUUUAUUCUCUACAAAGUGAUAGUAAUAUUUUUAAAAAUUGCAAACGUAACUCUUGCCAAUUAGAGAAACCAAUCGGUGUCAGUAGAGUCCCGUGAGAAAUGCUCUCCCUGGUGGGGACAUUGAAGUUGCUUACUAUUAUUGAUCUAUCCCUUGGGGAAAUAAAAGUGACUGUGAGUGGUGCCGUUGUGUGAUGUCAGCAUGACGUUGUUUUGAGUGUAGCAUUAUUUUCUGGUGCUCAUGUUUCCUGGAUUGUAUUAUCUGCUUUCCUUUACCAAGGCAGACAUACUGCUGCCUUACAGCCUGACAACCGGUUGUCCUCAGUGCAAAUGAACUUCAACAUUCGGAAUUUAGGGACAGGAAGGUUCUGAGGGGCUCUGGAGUGCCCGUGUGUUCAGGUUGGAAUGUCAUGCAUGGAGAAGGAACAAAGUAAUUGGAAAACAGCUGGUCAAGGGUAGAAGCUGAAGGGGAAUAUGAAGGAAGAGCAAGGCAAAGAAGAACUUUCUGGAAGUGAAGUAGACGUGCUGACUUCCACGGUGAAUAGCUCCUAGUGUUUGUAGGAAGAAUCCAGCUUAACACACUCCAUGGCCAGAGUAUCUGGGUAACAGAUUGUGGCCAUUGAACUAACCCACCUGAGGACCCACCUUUAGUGAGAUGUACUGUCGCUGUGUACAUGGUGUAGCUCAGUGACCAUCUGCCAUGGUGAGGUGAGCGUGGUCUCUUUUCAGUAUAGUAGUUAAUAUUUUCUAGCGUUUUUUUUUUAUGGCGAGAAUGUGAAAAGUGGCUUUUCAGACACCAUUUCAAUUGGGUCUGGGGGAAGGAAGGCUGUAAAGGACAUGGAAAUGGCACUGCAUUCAGGAUGUAUUAAAAUAAUUUGCUUUUCAGGUAUUAAUAUGACAUUUGUCAUUGUCACUGAUUUUUUAAAAAGCAAUGCAAAUGUUGGUUGUGGCUGUUUUCCGCAUGCUAUCUUCAUAUCUAAAUGCUUCAUUAAUUAUCCAAGCCUCUGGAGAAUUAACUCUAUUAUGUUUGUAUAGUAAGUUUGUAAACUGCUUGGCAAACUGAUUAAGAAACAAUGUGCAACAUCAUGCUACUAAAGUGGCAGGUUUCUGGUAGAACUAUGGUGAGUUCAAUUGUGGAAUUUUACAUUCCUUUGAUUGAUGAGAAUAAAACGGCAUUUUAGAAAGAGGAAAAAAAGUAGAUCACUCAACUUAGCAAACAGCUAAAAAUAACUUCUGUUCUCUGUGGCCCAGAAUCCAGUGAAAGAAAUUCUCCUCCUAAAUGUUGCUUUCGAACUCUGUCCUUUUCAGAGUACCUCUUACAUUUCCCCUUUGAGGCUUUAACCACCAUCAGCAGAAGGAAGAAGGCGGCCUAGAAACUGACAUUUAACCAGUGCCCACAGGGAUCUGGAGAAAUGCACAAUUUCAGUAGCUUCCCAGAGAGGAUCUGGCAGCUGAACUGGGUUAGAGUUUGAGCUAUAAUGAGAUCCAAGCCUCAGGGUCAAUUUGUCUACAAGCAAGACCGCCUCCAAUUAUUGCACCACUGCAGAUUUCUCCUCACUACUGCGCCCCACGUGCAGCCAGGAAAUGCUGGAGGAGGUGGGCUAAGUCUGCGGGCCUGGCCGCACCUUGUACUGGGAGGUCAGUCAAUGAUCAUUUACCCAGGCGCCCCAGGAUUCCUGUCCCAGCAAGCCAGUGUGUUCUCCCUGAGACCAAUAUUCAGGAACCUUACCUGAUUCCUUCAUAGUCAGCUUCAGCAGUUCUUGGACAAGUUUUGCUGUGAGUGGAGCCCAUACUGUCUUCUUCUGAGAUGAUCAUUUCAUCCUCAGUGGACUCUACUCCAGAGAGGUAAUCUUGCCCAGUUUCCUCUCUUUUCUAAUGCCACAUAGCUAUUUUGUCCUGACUUUCCUCGUACUCAUCAUUAUCUUGUCUGUUGGCAAAAAUCACAACUUUGGACUUCAAUUCAUUUCCUAUUGCUCCUCAAUUUCAUGGCCAAAGAACUGGCUCUUUCCCAAGUGUAAGUCACAGUUUCCUGAAAGGCUCUGCCAGUGCACCCCACCCCUGAUACUGUGUGCAGGUUUCUUAGCAGGAUGAGUGCCAUCGGGCAUGGCAUUCAAGUACCCUUCCUCUGCCCUGCAGUUCUGGGCUCUCUACCAAGUGUGAAGAUGAAUGAAGUGAGGGAAAUCGGAGCCCUGUUUCCUGGUUUUGCACAAGUUUGAGAAUCCCUAGUGUUGAUUGUUUGACACCUUCUUUCCACAUCACCUUUAGUGUCUUUUCCACCCUGAAGCCGUCCAGUGAAUAAGCAACUCAUUUCCAGUAGGAGACCUGCAAGCGGCUCUUUCUCGGCCCCUUUUCCCUUUCGGUCGGGUGCUCCUGCACGACCAGAUUCGAUUUCCUCUUCUGCAGCUGCUUCCCAUGGCUUGGGUACCACUCGCCUUGGUUGAGAUCAGGUAGGGUCAGUGAUCACAUCCCUGAAACCUGGGCCGGUAUAACCGGUAGUUACGGUAUACUUCCCCAGAGAGCAUGGACACAACCUCAGAGAGAUCUGUGACCCUCUCACCAGCUAAGACCCCUUGAUCAGAGCUGAUCCUGUUUGUCUAAUGAUAACUCUUAUUUGUAAACUGAUUCCUUUUUGUCUUUCUAUCCUGGGCUUUUAGCCAUUGGCCAAAAACUUCUAUUGAGGAUGUGUGAGUCAACAAUGAAUUGUGAGGUGGCAGUCCCUGUACCCCCAGACUGCAGAUUCCAAAGGCGGCUGACUUCUUUAGCCCAAACAAAGACCAAUCUCCUUUUCUAUGUUUGUGUUCUUUGCCAGUUAUUAUAGACUGCCUCCUGUUCAUCCUUUGCAGAAGUCAGAUAAGAACCCAUCUUUUUCUUCAUCUAAUUCCAUCUUCUAACAAGAAAUAACACAGAUAUUUAAAUUCUAAGGAGAAGUGCUCUUUGUGUAUUUCUGUCUAACAGAAACCAGAUGCUAGUACACAAAGAGGAUCUAUCUAUGACAAAAGAAAGCAGAAGACGGAACCAGUUAUCUAAAUAGCCCAUGCCAGAAGAGUUGCUGUGAGCAACUGUUAGCAUCCUCAGGGCUUUCAAAAUGGGUUUCUGGAGGUAGCAUUGCAGGUGUCGGACCAGCUGAGCCACUGCAGGGCCUGGGGGGGUGGGCGGUGAAGGCAGUUUCAGAUGGCCGCCUGUUGAGGGACGAUUCCUUAAGCACAAAAAGAAUGGAAAUGAAGAGCGCUUUGCCUUGCCUGCAGUAGCUGGUCCCUCUGGGGCCUCUGCAGACACCAGGGCUUCUUUGUCUGACCAUUUGGAAGCAGUCAUUAAGGUUAGGAUCAGGGUAGAAUUGGAUUCUUUUUCCAUUUUCUCAUCAUAAUAACCCAGUCAACGCAGGACACCCAUAAAACAUGACUCACCGUUGGGAGCCAUUCUGUUUUAUAAGCUUACUUCCUGUUGCAAAACUUGCUUUCCCCAGGAGUUCUUAAAAGGAAGGGGGAAAGUCAUAUAGUGUGAGGGAAGUAUUUCUGUGAUUUAGAUACAAUAAAUCUGUAGGACAGAAAAAAAAAAAAUACUGUCUCAUUCUCUCCUGGGAGUUUUCUGAGACGUUCCUUCACUGCACUGGGCAUUUAGUCAUUGAGGUUCAAUAAGUUGCUAACCAAGCUUUUCCAAAUUUUUCAGAGAGAAUUACUCAUCAGUAACUCCUGAAACUUACCUAGUCGGUUUCCAUAUUUUUCCAUAAAGCAUCUGGAUUCUACCAUGACCCACACUUAACAUUCUAAAUUUUACAAGUCUCCUCCAUUUUUCUUAGCCAAUUCAGACUUGGCAGUUUUCCCUCUCCUAAACACAUCCUGUAUGGGACUGGUCUGCCCAUCUCCCGCUUUAAUUCCAAGUACGAGGUAAACAAAACCUCCAAGGACCCAUGCCGUGAGGCGCCCGAUGGCGAGUGGUCAGCUAUUUGUCAAGGUCUGCAACAGGCCUUUGGUGUGGGCUCUGCCAGAGACUGUUGUGAACACUUUGCUUGAGAUCUGUGCCCUGUAAAAUGGAUAUGAUGUUUUACUGAUGUCUGUAAUACAUUUGUAAACUUCCAAUAAAAUUUGAAUAAAAGAAAUA
Molecule: RNA transcript, 7623 nt
Organism: Condylura cristata (star-nosed mole)
Lineage: Eukaryota; Metazoa; Chordata; Mammalia; Eulipotyphla; Talpidae
Gene: PRICKLE2
Gene name: prickle homolog 2 (Drosophila)
Exons: 9
Source: RefSeq, a predicted model, not a curated record